Molecule: ribosomal RNA, 1561 nt
Filed under: Triticum aestivum (bread wheat)
Lineage: Eukaryota; Viridiplantae; Streptophyta; Magnoliopsida; Poales; Poaceae
Description: partial small subunit ribosomal RNA
Source: RNAcentral
CGCGCGCUUGACCGGCACUCGCGCAGAACCCCCGCGCCCCGCGCCCCCUCCACUCUCUCCUCCCAGCUCCCUCAUCUCCAACCCUAAACCUUUCCCCCCACCACUGCAGCCGCCUCCCCGAGCUCCUCGCCCCUUCCACUCCCUCCGCGCCGCCUCUUCCCAUCUCCUGACAAGGCAGCUCCCAAGCAGAGAUCCCGCGGGGCCGAGGCAUGAAGGUGCGGAGGCAAGCUUCUCCGGCGGCGGGGGCGACCGGCGGCGCUCGAUUCGAUCAGAGAAUAUGAGAGGGAGGGAGAGAAGGAAGGAGAGGAGGGAGAAAGAGAGAGGAAAGAGGAGAGGGAGGUGCAGGGGCGGACGGGAGAGGGUCACCAGAAGGAGCGCCCCGGCUCGUCGUCGUUCACACCGCCCUGGAGAAAGAGGAUAGGGAGGUGCGGCAGUGGAUGGGAGAGGGCCAUUGGAAGGAGCGUGGCCGGCGUCGUUCGCACCACGCUGGAGCAGAGAUACCUAUGUACAGCCCUCAUGCCCGCAGAGUACACAAGUGGUUGCCCCUGAGGUCUCCUCCUUGUCCGGAUUGUUCAUUAAGUUUGUGGAUAGAGGAUGUGAUUCCAGCAAGACAGAGACAACGGCAAUGACAAGUGAGAUUUCUGUUAAGGAGUAUCAGUAGAUGUUCACAUGAUCGCUGGAAGCAUAUAAUGGUUGAUGAAACUGAGGUUAUCGGCGUUCUCCUGCAAACUGAAUUAAUUCCUCUGUGCAGGCGUACCAUGGAGAUGGGCAGUGAGCUAUCAGAAAACCCUACUCUGCCACGCAGUGAUCCGGCCAAUUUUUUCCUCAGGUUGUCGUUUGCUCAUUGCUGUCCUGGCUGCGCUUCUUCCUUCUGGUUGCAGCAGCAGAAAUAGAAGAAAUGUACAGCCUGUUUCCCUCACCUGCCGCAUCUUCCACUGACAAUAACUCUACACAACAGCCUGUUGAGGUUUUGAAGGAUUAGUGGACCAGAAUAUUGUUCUGGAAGUUAUCGAUGUUGGGCAUUAUAUGAUUCUACCAGCGGAUUAUUUGGCUCCUGAUCUUAUCCGUUGCAUUGCAACAGAAUGUGGGGUUGAUAUCGAUGAGGACCCGGAAGCAAUGAUUAUUGAUCACAUUAAUUACGACUCCACUUUGGUUGAAGGUGAUCACACCUUGAUUGCUGGCGAUGAUCUGAUUCAGUCAGCUUUGUGGGCGAGAGCAUGCAUCAUGAUGUCACGUUGGUGUUUGCCUACAAGGAAGGAGUUGUUGAGCCGACUUUCCUGUACUUCGGUCAUGAGCUGGAAGUGGUCAAGUGUUAAUUUUUUGCUCUGGUCUAUGGUUGUAAUGUUGGUGUCGUAUUUUUAAACAAAAGCUUAUGUUUUUUUGCUCAAACACAAAGUCACUGAAAAACGCAGAUGUUUUCAAUGUGAACAUGAUUCCAAAUGGGUCUCUGUGAACAUGGUAGCAAGUAUUUUGCGCUAUCAAAUUAAAAUGUGUAUAUACAUCUCAUUGUAGACAACAAUCCACCAUGUUUUCUAUUAAACGGGAAUAAACCAUGGAUUUU